GCCUUCAUGGUGUAGUGGUCAGCAUGCUGGACAGGUAUUCCAGAGGUCCGUGGUUCGAGUCCUGGCGAAGGCG
RNAcentral lists this transfer RNA (73 nucleotides) under Stegodyphus mimosarum. It matches the Rfam family "tRNA". Rfam says of the family: Transfer RNA (tRNA) molecules are approximately 80 nucleotides in length. The record is from Rfam by way of RNAcentral. Lineage: Eukaryota; Metazoa; Arthropoda; Arachnida; Araneae; Eresidae.